AAGAAAAUAAUGUAAUAGGUAACAUGCCAGCUUUGGGUGCUGGAUAUGUGGGUUCAAGUCCUACUUUUCUAU
RNAcentral lists this transfer RNA (72 nucleotides) under Ulva prolifera. RNAcentral describes it as "tRNA-Pro". It matches the Rfam family "tRNA". Rfam says of the family: Transfer RNA (tRNA) molecules are approximately 80 nucleotides in length. The record is from RNAcentral. RNAcentral also lists the same sequence under 1 other name. Lineage: Eukaryota; Viridiplantae; Chlorophyta; Ulvophyceae; Ulvales; Ulvaceae.